This is a non-coding RNA of Myotis davidii, 75 nucleotides long. The record is from Rfam. NCBI's taxonomy places the organism in Eukaryota, Metazoa, Chordata, Mammalia, Chiroptera, Vespertilionidae.
GGCAGUUCUUGGAUGAUGCACCUUGGAAUCGGGCUCCCUCCUCCCUGGUUCUGGGUGUGUCACCUGAGAACCACA